GCGUUGUGGACAGGGCUCAUGAGUUAAUGCUCGACGACGGCGAUCCCCCCCGUCGCGCCUCGCUUUUUCAUUGCCGCUGACGUACUGGCGCAUUAUUAUUCUCAUUCACUCUUACGCAAAGAGAACUAACGAGCAGACCCCAUAUUUCUCACCUCCACAUAGGUCUGUUUGAUAGAAAUACGUCCAUGUGAAUUCAACCAAUCAUGAUAUAUUCUAUAUUUUCUAAUCCCUUUCCUGCUGGAACUUCUCAUUGCUGUAUGCAAUAAAUUGAAUUUCUAAUUUUCACUUUUAGGCGUGGGAGCUAUUGCUGCACGAGCUUCUCAUCAUGGAGCAGAUGAUAAAAUGGCAGACCCCAACUACAUCCCUGUGAGUCUCACCGACCCCCACAAACUCUCACGGGCACUUUCCACCAAAGCACAUUGCUGACGAGGAUGAUUUACCACAAGUUGGAGGCAGUUGGCAGGAAUACAUCGAUGAACGAACUGCUGGAUGGAACAAACAAUGGCAAUCUCUGCUGUUCUCUUCGUGGCUAUUGCUGUUACCAUCCAACAGACUGUAUUCUUCAAUGCCUUCCCACCUGAGUUGCCAGAAGAAAUGAAGACCUACCACCCAUGGAAGGACAGGAAAGAAUAAUUUCUUGCUGUCAACACGCAAUUAUUCAGUAGUGAUCAAACAACUUUAUGUUCCCAAUAGCCAGUUAAUUAUGUCAAGGAGAACAGAAUUUGCAAUUUCUUUCUGUAAGUUACUGUAAGCUUAUUUUAUUUCCCUGUUUGAUCAGUUUCCUUUUUUCUUGUACAUCAUCUAUGGAUUGAAAAGUCUGAAAAGUCUUUUUUAUUCUUUCGCAUUUUAAACAAGAUUGAUGCCUGUGAAAAGGCAGAGUCAAUAUUGAAUUGAAAAAUGAGUCUUUAUUUGUUGGAAAUAAAUUUUGUCAAUGUUAAAAUUUUGUUGAUAUUUUUUCUAUAUUUGGGGGGGGGGGGGGGGGAGAGGCUUUAGAGUUUCAUAAUUUUGCUCCCAGUCAUCAUUUAAAUGUCUACAAACAAGAACCCUAUAUUUAUCAGUGAAAUAAACGUCUGUAAUCAGCUAAAGAUAUUAUAUUUUAGCACAGGGUUGCGGUUGCCAUAGUCAGGGAUAGUCAGGAAAUAUUAGGGAAUUUUAAAAAGUCCAUGAAAGCUGGGGGCUGUCAAGGAUGAUGACAAAAGUGCCUGGGUAAAAUUUAAGUUCCCUUUAUUACUCUCUUCUUGUGUAGAUUUCAAGGUAUCUGCCAGUGUGCUUUACCUAUUGCUCACGCCUUGUAAAUCUCAUCCAUUUGUUUUGCAUCCAAAUGAAGGGUAACAUUUUAUUUCUAAAUGCCUGAUGGAG
RNAcentral lists this long non-coding RNA (1359 nucleotides) under Bemisia tabaci. RNAcentral's name for it is "lncRNA ENSSWEETPG008827". The record is from RNAcentral. Lineage: Eukaryota; Metazoa; Arthropoda; Insecta; Hemiptera; Aleyrodidae.